CAGAGUGAGGAGAUGGGGGUCACAGCGGGCUCAUCAACCUGGCAAUUUUCUCCAGCUUUUCACAGCUCCAACACAUCAGUGAUCCAGACUUGAUGAAAUCUGGACCACCUGCUGCCGGGUGGCUGUUUUCUCUGGGACGACGUCCAAAGAAACAGAAGCAGAUUGAUCACUUACAGAAGACGAAGCGUGAGCGAGCGGCGCCGUCGCUGCUCCGAGAUGAAAAACUCCUCAGUGGUUCUGCCGAAGGUCUGACGCACACACUCGCUGUGCCUCAUGCAAAACGAAUCCCACGCUCUGCAGAGAGGCUGCGUUCAGCUUCGGUCCAGCUCAACAGACUCUGAGCUCAGCUGAGCUUUGGUUUGGUCGAGCCUGACUUUAUGAGAGAUUCAUUAUUUUAUUCAUGACACGGUUUCAGCUCCUGACUGCUGAUCACCUGUCUGACUGACGCAGACAGGUGAGCCUGGCGUGUGAUACAGGUAAUUAAAGAGUUUUACGAGCAGACUGCUUGUAGUUCAUGAGUGUUAACAAUGGACAGACUAUGAGACAGUGGA
Molecule: long non-coding RNA, 551 nt
Organism: Toxotes jaculatrix (banded archerfish)
Lineage: Eukaryota; Metazoa; Chordata; Actinopteri; Toxotidae
Exons: 3
Source: RefSeq, a predicted model, not a curated record